GAUGAACGCUGGCGGCGUGCCUAAUACAUGCAAGUCGAGCGAACGGACGAGAAGCUUGCUUCUCUGAUGUUAUCGGCGGACGGGAGCGUAACACGUGGAUAACCUAACUAUAAGACUGGGAUAACUUCGGGAAACCGGAGCUAAUACCGGAUGAUAUUUUGAACCGCAUGGUUCAAAAGUGAAAGACGGUCUUGCUGUCACUUAUAGAUGGCUCCGCACUGCAUUAGCUAGUUGGUAAGGUAACGGCUUACCAAGGCAGCGAUGCAUAGCCGACCUGAAGGGGUGAAUGGCCAGCUGGGAACAGAGACACGGUCGAGACUCUGGCAGUGGGAAACAGUAGAGAAUCUUCCGCGAUGCGCGAAAGCCUGACGGAGCAACGUCGCGGGAGGGAUGAAGGUCUUCUGAUCGUAAAACGCUGAUAGUAGGGAAGAACAUAUGUGUAAGUAACUGUGCACAUCUUGACGGUACCUAAUCAGAAAGCCACGGCUAACUACGUG
This 497-nucleotide ribosomal RNA is filed under the name uncultured bacterium. RNAcentral's name for it is "partial 16S ribosomal RNA". It matches the Rfam family "Bacterial small subunit ribosomal RNA", at positions 28 to 507 of the family's 1533-position model. The record is from RNAcentral.